This 253-nucleotide ribosomal RNA is filed under the name uncultured bacterium. RNAcentral's name for it is "partial 16S ribosomal RNA". It matches the Rfam family "Bacterial small subunit ribosomal RNA", at positions 524 to 776 of the family's 1533-position model. The record is from RNAcentral.
UACGUAGGGUCCGAGCGUUGUCCGGAAUUAUUGGGCGUAAAGAGCUCGUAGGCGGUUUGUCGCGUCUGCUGUGAAAACUGGAGGCUCAACCUCCAGCCUGCAGUGGGUACGGGCAGACUAGAGUGCGGUAGGGGAGAAUGGAAUUCCUGGUGUAGCGGUGAAAUGCGCAGAUAUCAGGAGGAACACCGAUGGCGAAGGCAGGUCUCUGGGCCACUACUGACGCUGAGAAGCGAAAGCAUGGGGAGCGAACAGG